Molecule: ribosomal RNA, 498 nt
Filed under: uncultured bacterium
Lineage: Bacteria
Description: partial 16S ribosomal RNA
Rfam family: Bacterial small subunit ribosomal RNA
Source: RNAcentral
GACGAACGCUGGCGGCGUGCCUAAUACAUGCAAGUCGAGCGAAGUUUUUCUGGUGCUUGCACUAGAAACACUUAGCGGCGAACGGGUGAGUAACACGUAAAGAACCUGCCUCAUAGACUGGGACAACUAUUGGAAACGAUAGCUAAUACCGGAUAACAGCAUUAACUGCAUGGUUGAUGUUUAAAAGUUGGUUUUGCUAACACUAUGAGAUGGCUUUGCGGUGCAUUAGCUAGUUGGUGGGGUAAAGGCCUACCAAGGCGACGAUGCAUAGCCGACCUGAGAGGGUGAUCGGCCACACUGGGACUGAGACCCGGCCCAGACUCCUACGGGAGGCAGCAGUAGGGAAUCUUCCGCAAUGGGCGAAAGCCUGACGGAGCAACGCCGCGUGAGUGAAGAAGGAUUUCGGUUCGUAAAGCUCUGUUGUUAGGGAAGAAUGAUUGUGUAGUAACUAUACACAGUAGAGACGGUACCGAACCAGAAAGCCACGGCUAACUACGU